This 459-nucleotide long non-coding RNA is filed under the name Capsicum annuum. RNAcentral's name for it is "long non-coding RNA (CANN_LNC005246)". Lineage: Eukaryota; Viridiplantae; Streptophyta; Magnoliopsida; Solanales; Solanaceae. The record is from RNAcentral.
GGAGUUCAAGAUUCCAAUCUGUUCAUGGGAGUCUCCCAACAAUAUGCUCAAUGUAGACGUUCGUGACAAAGACCAUUUUUCUCAGGAUGAUUCAUUGGGGUCUGUCCUGUUCUCUUUCGACAUUUACUGCAGGAACAUAGCUAUUAAGUAGGAUAUACUAUGGCUCCGACACCACCGUCAUCCCAAAAAAGAGAAAAAAGGAUAUACUAGGAGUGAGCUGUUAACCCCCGACCAUGUAGAGCUUGGGUUAUGCGGAGGAAUUUCUGUUACUAAGUGGUUUCUAAUAUUCUCUGUGAAUUAUCUCUUGCUGUUAGUUCCUUCUUUCACAAUAAUCUUGUGCCCAGCUUCUACAUGCUUAUCUGUAUGCUUCCGCGAUCUCCAGCUAAGCUAGUCGUAACAUCAUAUUCCUAUCUAGUAAUUAUGAUGACUUGGACCAAUAGAGACAUGUUUUUACCGCCC